This 389-nucleotide transfer-messenger RNA is filed under the name Anaeroplasmataceae. RNAcentral's name for it is "Anaeroplasma faecigallinarum Standard tmRNA". It matches the Rfam family "transfer-messenger RNA". Rfam says of the family: Bacterial tmRNA, also known as 10Sa RNA or SsrA, is named for its dual tRNA and mRNA-like properties. Its role is to liberate the mRNA from a stalled ribosome. RNAcentral also lists the same sequence under 2 other names. The record is from RNAcentral. Lineage: Bacteria; Bacillati; Mycoplasmatota; Mollicutes; Anaeroplasmatales.
GGGCUUGUUUUGGAUUCGCUAUGAUUCAUAGAGUUUUGUAAGCACGUAGCAGUAGUCUGCUUUAACAACGUCGAGGUUUAUAAUAACCGCAAACAAUACACAUUUAUUUGCACGCGCUAAUAACAAUAUGAGCGCUGCAUUCGCUUGCUAAUAUAAUAUAAGCGGACUCACCCAAGAGAUUUCCUAUGUUUCUUGGCUUGAGGUUCAACACAGUAGGAUAUAUCACUACUAUGCUACUCUAAUAGUAACUGACGAAUCAUAAUAGAGUGUAGUUAGCUUUUGGUUUGUAUGUUCGCUUAGGGCUAAUGAAAAUUUAGAACAUAAUAAACGUGUAGAAAGCAAAAUGAAGUGGGUUGUAUACCGGGGUUCGAGUCCCCGCAGGUCCACCA